Molecule: ribosomal RNA, 1377 nt
Filed under: Lactiplantibacillus plantarum
Lineage: Bacteria; Bacillati; Bacillota; Bacilli; Lactobacillales; Lactobacillaceae
Description: Lactobacillus plantarum 16S ribosomal RNA
Rfam family: Bacterial small subunit ribosomal RNA
Source: RNAcentral
GAGUGGCGAACUGGUGAGUAACACGUGGGAAACCUGCCCAGAAGCGGGGGAUAACACCUGGAAACAGAUGCUAAUACCGCAUAACAACUUGGACCGCAUGGUCCGAGNUUGAAAGAUGGCUUCGGCUAUCACUUUUGGAUGGUCCCGCGGCGUAUUAGCUAGAUGGUGGGGUAACGGCUCACCAUGGCAAUGAUACGUAGCCGACCUGAGAGGGUAAUCGGCCACAUUGGGACUGAGACACGGCCCAAACUCCUACGGGAGGCAGCAGUAGGGAAUCUUCCACAAUGGACGAAAGUCUGAUGGAGCAACGCCGCGUGAGUGAAGAAGGGUUUCGGCUCGUAAAACUCUGUUGUUAAAGAAGAACAUAUCUGAGAGUAACUGUUCAGGUAUUGACGGUAUUUAACCAGAAAGCCACGGCUAACUACGUGCCAGCAGCCGCGGUAAUACGUAGGUGGCAAGCGUUGUCCGGAUUUAUUGGGCGUAAAGCGAGCGCAGGCGGUUUUUUAAGUCUGAUGUGAAAGCCUUCGGCUCAACCGAAGAAGUGCAUCGGAAACUGGGAAACUUGAGUGCAGAAGAGGACAGUGGAACUCCAUGUGUAGCGGUGAAAUGCGUAGAUAUAUGGAAGAACACCAGUGGCGAAGGCGGCUGUCUGGUCUGUAACUGACGCUGAGGCUCGAAAGUAUGGGUAGCAAACAGGAUUAGAUACCCUGGUAGUCCAUACCGUAAACGAUGAAUGCUAAGUGUUGGAGGGUUUCCGCCCUUCAGUGCUGCAGCUAACGCAUUAAGCAUUCCGCCUGGGGAGUACGGCCGCAAGGCUGAAACUCAAAGGAAUUGACGGGGGCCCGCACAAGCGGUGGAGCAUGUGGUUUAAUUCGAAGCUACGCGAAGAACCUUACCAGGUCUUGACAUACUAUGCAAAUCUAAGAGAUUAGACGUUCCCUUCGGGGACAUGGAUACAGGUGGUGCAUGGUUGUCGUCAGCUCGUGUCGUGAGAUGUUGGGUUAAGUCCCGCAACGAGCGCAACCCUUAUUAUCAGUUGCCAGCAUUAAGUUGGGCACUCUGGUGAGACUGCCGGUGACAAACCGGAGGAAGGUGGGGAUGACGUCAAAUCAUCAUGCCCCUUAUGACCUGGGCUACACACGUGCUACAAUGGAUGGUACAACGAGUUGCGAACUCGCGAGAGUAAGCUAAUCUCUUAAAGCCAUUCUCAGUUCGGAUUGUAGGCUGCAACUCGCCUACAUGAAGUCGGAAUCGCUAGUAAUCGCGGAUCAGCAUGCCGCGGUGAAUACGUUCCCGGGCCUUGUACACACCGCCCGUCACACCAUGAGAGUUUGUAACACCCAAAGUCGGUGGGGUAACCUUUUAGGAACCAGCCGC